GAUGAACGCUGGCGGCGUGCCUAAUACAUGCAAGUCGAGCGAACAGACGAGGAGCUUGCUCCUUGGACGUGAGCGGCGGAGGGGUGAGUAACACGUGGAUAACCUACUUAUAAGACUGGGAUAACUUCGGGAAACCGGAGCUAACAGCGGAGAAGAUGCUGAAGCGCAGGGGGCAAUAGAGAAAGACGGUGUUGGGGGCAGGUAUAGAUGGAUCCGCGCCGCAUGAGCUAGUUGGUAGGGUAACGGCUUAUCAAGGCAACGAUGCGUAGGCGACCUGAGGGGGUGAUCGGCCACACUGGAACUGAGACACGGUCCAGACUCCUACGGGAGGCAGCAGUCGGGUAUCUUCCGCAAUGGGCGAAAGCCUGACGGAGCAACGCCGCGUGAGUGAAGACGGUCUUCGGAUCGUAAUGCUCUGUUAUUAGGGAAGAACAACUGUGUCAGUAACUAUGCCCUUCUUGACGGUACCUGAUCAGAAAGCCCCGGCUAACUACGUG
Molecule: ribosomal RNA, 497 nt
Filed under: uncultured bacterium
Lineage: Bacteria
Description: partial 16S ribosomal RNA
Rfam family: Bacterial small subunit ribosomal RNA
Source: RNAcentral